CUCCGAUGACGCGUAGCCUCUAUUUUUCCUCCUAAUAUUUGUCGCUCUCUUUCGGUGACACCGAUCCUCUUCCAGAAUUUUCUCCUUGACACUUUCGCUUCUGAUUUCUUAUUCAAAUUUCUGCAUAUUGAUUCCAGCUUCUCUUUGCAGCAUAUGAGAUCUAUGAUUUUUGCUUGAUUUUUUCUUGGUUUGGUGAACCAUCUUUGCAUAGUAAUAGGACUUUGGUAUUCAGCAACAUACACAUCCAUCAUCCAUUAAACGAAAGUUUUGCUAUGGCCUAUGGAUUGUAGUAGCUAUGUGUUCCCCUGUCUGCACAUCAUCUUAUUUAUAAUCAAAAUGCCAUGGUCAAUUAUGACUUAUGAAUGAAAGGAAUCGUUCGAGGUCCUGAUGGAGGACACAAGAGAUAGUUCAUAACCAUAAAUUAGUCUACAUAUCGGCACUGGUAUCAUGAAUGCCAGCGAGUACAAAUUGCUAGGAAGUGACUGACAGUUGAUCACAUAGAAUCACAUUCUUUGGUUUUUGGUAAAGAUAAAACCACACUCAUUAAGAUAGAAGAUACUUCAAAUGUCCAGGCUCAAUAUGUUUAAAAUUUGACUAUCAGAAUCUGCAGAUUGUUCAAUUUCAGAAACAUUAUGCAGCGGAAAAAGUCAGAAAGGACCAAGAUUGAUUGCUCAAUGAACAUGUCUCUCUAGAUAAUCGGGAAGAAAGCUUUAGCCUCUUUGCUUUGCUGUUCGAGUCAUUUGGUGUGCAGUAAAGGUACCAUUAUAUAUAUUAAGGAUUGCGAAGAAGAAGACUAAUUACAACAUUGUAAAUGUAUCACUUUUAGUCAAUAUGUAAAUAUUAUCCAUGGAUUUAAAGAAUAUGUCACCUUGCAAGGCCACAUUCAAGAAGGGAUAUUUUUGUUCCUCUAUGUAUGUAAAUAAAUAACGUCCAAUAGUUAAUAUGCAAUGUCCUCUUUAUCCAAUUUGAUAGUUAUUUACUUGCAUCAAUUCUUAUUAUAUGAAAUUUUAUGUUAAAAGAGAUUUAAUCAAAAAUAAAAGUUCCAGAGUUUAUAUUAUUGGUUAUGUAA
Molecule: long non-coding RNA, 1069 nt
Organism: Nicotiana attenuata
Lineage: Eukaryota; Viridiplantae; Streptophyta; Magnoliopsida; Solanales; Solanaceae
Exons: 8
Source: RefSeq, a predicted model, not a curated record